Long non-coding RNA from Olea europaea var. sylvestris, 363 nucleotides. RefSeq lists it as uncharacterized. NCBI's taxonomy places the organism in Eukaryota, Viridiplantae, Streptophyta, Magnoliopsida, Lamiales, Oleaceae. The transcript is spliced from 2 exons. The record is from RefSeq and is a predicted model, not a curated record.
UUGCAACAGCUUCAAGAUACGCAGGAAAAAUUGGAAAAAUUUGAAGUUUUUGUUAGUACCUUCGCGGAAGAAAGAAGCAGGCGAGAUCAGGAGGAAGUGUGUUUGAGGAAAAGAAUAAAGGAAGCUUCCGAAACCAUUGAAGGGUUACUCCAUAAAAUCAAGAUGCUAGAGAAUAGAGGAAGAGUUUAGUUUGAAAUUCAACAGCAAUGCUUUUCUUAAUAACUUAAACAAACGCUUUGAUUUUUUCUUCCGUAUAUAUUAUUAAAUCAUUGGUUACAUUAAUUUCGUGUAGUCGGAGAAAACAAAACUAACAUAGCUUCAUUGUACUUCUAUAUGGAAAAUUCUAGAAAGAGACUCUCGACA